UGAUAGGACUUAGGGCUAAAUUAGGGCUAACUUUUAUUGAUUAAAUCAAAAGAAACAAACAAUCAAUCCUGACCUACAAUUCGAGAGGUAGGUCAAUCUCUCCCAAAACUCCUAAUGGUUCCUAAUACCAGACAAAACUCAACAUAAACCCUAAAUGACUUCAUAAUUUAGGUCAAUCUCUCCCAAAACUCCUAAUGGUUCCUAAUACCAGACAAAACUCAACAUAAACCCUAAAUGACUCCAUAAUCUCUUAUUUAUAGCUAAACCCUAAUUAAUAAUAAAGUUACUAAAUUGCCCCUGCCCCUAAAAUUACUAAACAGCCCCUGCCCCUUUAUAUUUGCGCCUAACAUAAGUUUUCAUGGACCUAACAUGACUCCCCUCCCAAAAAGACACCUUGUCCUCAAGGUGAAAUCUAG
This 416-nucleotide long non-coding RNA is filed under the name Citrus sinensis (sweet orange). RNAcentral describes it as "long non-coding RNA (CSIN_LNC004937)". Lineage: Eukaryota; Viridiplantae; Streptophyta; Magnoliopsida; Sapindales; Rutaceae. The record is from RNAcentral.